RNAcentral lists this ribosomal RNA (678 nucleotides) under Marinobacter salexigens. RNAcentral describes it as "bacterial SSU rRNA". It matches the Rfam family "Bacterial small subunit ribosomal RNA", at positions 843 to 1521 of the family's 1533-position model. The record is from RNAcentral. Lineage: Bacteria; Pseudomonadati; Pseudomonadota; Gammaproteobacteria; Pseudomonadales; Marinobacteraceae.
GUGGCGCAGCUAACGCACUAAGUUGACCGCCUGGGGAGUACGGCCGCAAGGUUAAAACUCAAAUGAAUUGACGGGGGCCCGCACAAGCGGUGGAGCAUGUGGUUUAAUUCGACGCAACGCGAAGAACCUUACCUGGCCUUGACAUGCAGAGAACUUUCCAGAGAUGGAUUGGUGCCUUCGGGAACUCUGACACAGGUGCUGCAUGGCCGUCGUCAGCUCGUGUCGUGAGAUGUUGGGUUAAGUCCCGUAACGAGCGCAACCCCUAUCCCUAGUUGCUAGCAGUUCGGCUGAGAACUCUAGGGAGACUGCCGGUGACAAACCGGAGGAAGGUGGGGAUGACGUCAGGUCAUCAUGGCCCUUACGGCCAGGGCUACACACGUGCUACAAUGGUGCGUACAGAGGGUUGCAAACCCGCGAGGGGGAGCCAAUCUCACAAAACGCAUCGUAGUCCGGAUCGGAGUCUGCAACUCGACUCCGUGAAGUCGGAAUCGCUAGUAAUCGUGAAUCAGAAUGUCACGGUGAAUACGUUCCCGGGCCUUGUACACACCGCCCGUCACACCAUGGGAGUAGAUUGCACCAGAAGUAGUUAGUCUAACCUUCGGGAGGACGAUUACCACGGUGUGGUUUAUGACUGGGGUGAAGUCGUAACAAGGUAGCCCUAGGGGAACCUGGGGCUGG